GUGCUGCAGCUGCCAAUCUUGGCCAGGAUUCCACUAAAUGGAGCCUCAGUGGGAUCUUCCUGGUCGGGAGUGAAUCGCCAGUGUCUGGGACAGGAACCACUGGAAGUGGAGACAGCAGGGACCCCCUACUCACCCUGGCAAAAAGAG
This is a long non-coding RNA of Fundulus heteroclitus (mummichog), 147 nucleotides long. RefSeq lists it as uncharacterized. NCBI's taxonomy places the organism in Eukaryota, Metazoa, Chordata, Actinopteri, Cyprinodontiformes, Fundulidae. The transcript is spliced from 3 exons. The record is from RefSeq and is a predicted model, not a curated record.